Molecule: ribosomal RNA, 601 nt
Filed under: Bacteroides fragilis
Lineage: Bacteria; Pseudomonadati; Bacteroidota; Bacteroidia; Bacteroidales; Bacteroidaceae
Description: bacterial LSU rRNA
Rfam family: Bacterial large subunit ribosomal RNA
Source: RNAcentral
AAGCAGCCAUUCAUUUAAAGAGUGCGUAACAGUUCACUAGUCGAGGAGUUUGGCGUGGAUAAUAAUCGGGCAUAAGUGUUUUACCGAAGCUAUGGGAUACGUAAGUAUCGGUAGGGGAGCAUUCCACUCAGCGUUGAAGGCGAAGCGUGAGCUUUACUGGAGCGUGUGGAAAAGCAAAUGUAGGUAUAAGUAACGAUAAAGGGGGUGAGAAACCCCCUCGCCGCAAGACUAAGGUUUCCUGAUCAACGCUAAUCGGAUCAGGGUUAGUCGGGUCCUAAGGCUCAGCCGAACGGUGAGGCCGAUGGCAGAACAGGUUAAUAUUCCUGUACUACCUAUAAGAGUGAUGUGGAGACGGAGGAGUGACAACGCCGCGGACUGACGGAAUAGUCCGUUAAAGGGUGUAGAUGUUGAUUAUCCCAGGCAAAUCCGGGAUAAGAGUCGAACCUGACAGUAUACCAAUUUCCCCGGAAAACGGUAAUAGUGCGUGUAAACAUACUCCCAAGAAAAUCCGCUAAACUUAAUCUUAUAGGUACCCGUACCGUAAACGGACACACGUAGUCGGGUUGAAUAUACUCAGGCGCUUGAGUGAAUUCCGGUUAAG